UGGGGAAUAUUGGACAAUGGGCGAAAGCCUGAUCCAGCCAUGCCGCGUGAGUGACGAAGGCCUUAGGGUUGUAAAACUCUUUUGUCGGGGACGAUAAUGACGGUACCCGAAGAAGAAGCUCCGGCUAACUUCGUGCCAGCAGCCGCGGUAAUACGAAGGGAGCUAGCGUUGUUCGGAAUCACUGGGCGUAAAGCGCACGUAGGCGGAUAGUUAAGUCAGGGGUGAAAUCCUGGGGCUCAACCCCAGAACUGCCUUUGAUACUGGCUGUCUCGAGGUCGAGAGAGGUUGGUGGAAUUCCUAGUGUAGAGGUGAAAUUCGUAGAUAUUAGGAAGAACACCAGUGGCGAAGGCGGCCAACUGGCUCGAUACUGACGCUGAGGUGCGAAAGCGUGGGGAGCAAACAGGAUUAGAUACCCCCGUAGUCCCUGAGCGGGCUGGCAAGGCGCAU
This 447-nucleotide ribosomal RNA is filed under the name uncultured bacterium. RNAcentral describes it as "bacterial SSU rRNA". It matches the Rfam family "Bacterial small subunit ribosomal RNA", at positions 355 to 825 of the family's 1533-position model. The record is from RNAcentral.